Molecule: ribosomal RNA, 166 nt
Filed under: Antirrhinum majus (snapdragon)
Lineage: Eukaryota; Viridiplantae; Streptophyta; Magnoliopsida; Lamiales; Plantaginaceae
Description: 5.8S ribosomal RNA
Rfam family: 5.8S ribosomal RNA (bases 26-166)
About the family: 5.8S ribosomal RNA (5.8S rRNA) is a component of the large subunit of the eukaryotic ribosome. It is transcribed by RNA polymerase I as part of the 45S precursor that also contains 18S and 28S rRNA.
Source: RNAcentral
CUCGACCUAUCUUGAAUGUCAAAACGACUCUCGGCAACGGAUAUCUCGGCUCUCGCAUCGAUGAAGAACGUAGCGAAAUGCGAUACUUGGUGUGAAUUGCAGAAUCCCGUGAACCAUCGAGUCUUUGAACGCAAGUUGCGCCCGAAGCCAUUAGGCCGAGGGCACG